Long non-coding RNA from Catharus ustulatus (Swainson's thrush), 233 nucleotides. RefSeq lists it as uncharacterized. The transcript is spliced from 4 exons. Lineage: Eukaryota; Metazoa; Chordata; Aves; Passeriformes; Turdidae. The record is from RefSeq and is a predicted model, not a curated record.
AGGGACAGGUGUGACAGCAAAGCCUCGCCGUGCUCCUCCAGGCCGCUGGCCUCGUGCGUCAGGUAUGAACCUGGGACAGGUGAGACAGGUGAGACAGGUAAAGGGACAGAACACACAGGGACAGGUGUGACAGCAAAGCCUCGCCGUGCUCCUCCAGCCCGCUGGCCUCGUGGGUCAGGUAUGAACCUGGGACAGGUGAGACAGGACAGGUGGGACAGGUGAGACAGGGACAG